UUUGCCUUACGGGCCUUGCAUACAAUCAUAAAGUCCUUUUUAGAAUAAAGAAAACCCUAAAAGGAUAAGGUUAGGCCGUACGGUCUGACACCCGUACGGUUGUCGGUACAAUGUAACAGAACGAUCUUGACGCGUGGCAAUCUUGUAACUGAUUAACCGGACUAACGGCCACGAUCAACUCGGCCAUGGAGAAAUCGGACUAACGGCUACAAUCAACUCGGUCAUGGAGAAACCGUACUAACGGCCACGAUCAACUCGGUCAUGGAGAAACUGGACUGGCUGUGAUGCGGAGUUCACCCCGGAGAUACCGGACCAAACAGAUUUGCUUCACUUUUCUCAGAUCAGCCGCAGCCGGUGCAAUUCCACCAAUCCAAAGGAAAGACUCGACAUUAACCGUCAUGCACUAAAGGUGACUCGCGAGACAAUGGAUGCUCACAGGGUUUAUGCAGAGUUGGUACGCACAGAUAUUUCAUCUGGACUUGAGAAGCGGUUAGCAGGUUUGGUCGAUGUUUUUUUUCAAUUGUUUUUAAAUUUUUGAUAUAUUUUUUAAAAAAUUUAGGUUCGGUUGAUGUGUUGGUUGUGAAUCCUCCUUAUGUUCCUACACCUGAAGACAAAGUUGGUUGUGAAGGGAUCACUUCUGCAUGGGCCGGAGGGGAGAAUGGUCGAAGUGUUAUUGAUAAAAUAUUGCCGGCUGCUGACAAUCUUUUGUCAGAGAGGGGCUGGUUAUAUAUGGUCACGCUUACUGCUAAUAAUCCCUCAGAAAUAUAUCUUGAGAUGAGAAAGAAGGGUUAUGCAUCUUGAAUUAUCCUGCGGAGAUCAACUGAAGAAGAGAUCCUUCAUAUUAUCAAAUUUUGGCGAGAUACUGAUAGCCAGUUGGAACCAAAUAAUUUAAAUUAUUGGACAAAACUGGUUAGUCUCAUUUUGCAAUUUCAUUGACUGUUCGUUAGAGGACAUGUCAACGGCUAUUACCGAUAUUACAGAAAGAGGAGGAAGUUCAUCGGCUGGAUGUGGUGAUUUUUUCCUAGCUGGGGAGGGUUUGUAUUCUAUAUUCGAAGGAUCCUCAUCUUGAGAAUUUGACACAAAAGUUUGAGUUGAAGAACACAACAGAAGAGAAAGGGAUUCGAUACUAACAAAGACAAAGAGUGUUCUGAUUACAAAGAAAGGUUAUCAAAUGCAAAAAGGCCAUCAGAUGCAAAUCCCAUUUAUUCACAUUGGGCUUCUUCAACUCGGGCCCAAUUUAAGCAUUUGGACAAAGGUGCAGCCCGUGUACAAAUUCAAGAUGAAUCUGAGCCCAACAAAGCUGUGGACAGAUCUGAGCCAUUGAAAGUUGACAAAACAAAUCUGGCCAUACAGCUUGGUGAAAAUGACACCUGUGCACACCUGUUCAAAAUCAGAAAAUCCUAUCAGUGUAAAGAAUAAAAGUUUGUUAGGGAAUUAGCUAAUAGAAGAUAGACAAAUAUGUACAGGAUUGAUUGUUUUCUUUAUUUAUUUUAAAUACAUAGGCUUGUAUAUAUAGGGGUACUCUCCAUUGAUGAAAUACACAAGAAAUUUCUCAAAUCUACUGUUUCAUUAAAAUCUUAUACCUCAAACAAGCUGACUCCCGCUCUCAACUUUAUCAAGUACCUUUAAUGAUUCUUAAAGAUGUAAUUCCUCAAUUCUAUACACAAUUUUUGAAUAAUUUGCUUUCGUAAUCUGCACCGUUCUGGACUUCUGGCAACAAGCUUGUGUAAUAUCUUCCAGUGAUACUAGAACCGGUUAAUGAAUAUGUUUGGAUGGAUAUUACCUGGAUAUUGAUUGGUUAGGUUUCUUGUUAAUUUACUUGUUUUGUUACUGCAAUUUAAGCAUUUCAUUGCUAAAUAUGAAUAAACUUGUGUAGGUGAAAGUUUCUAGCCCUUUGAAAAGGUUCCCUCUCUACUAAUCAAGUAUUUCAGGCUGAACAAUAGCAAGAGUUACAGCGAAAAAAAUGUUUAACGUAGGUGCCAAAGCAAUGUGUUGACAAUUUGUAGCCAGUAAACAAAAAGCUUUUGGGAAUAAGGUUGAAAUGUAACUUCACAGCAUGAUUUUUGGUUUUGCACCUUACUACCUUGUGGCACUACCCUACAUUUUUCAGAAAGAACUGUCAUUGGCUCCUUCCUAUACUAAUGUAGCAAUAUUGUUGAAAAGUUGCAUUUGGACAUUCUUUGAACUGCUGCAGUUAAUCAAUCUUGAGAAGAGGUCCCGUUUGCAAUUUUUAUUGUAUAUUUGUAUUUUAUGUAUAGACUCAAUGCCAUCCUUUAAUUGCAUUACCCUUAUUCCUAUGUGAACAUAUGUUUUUGGAUAAUGUUGUCACUUCCUUUUCCAAAAGCCUGGCUAAGGUCUGUCCGAAAACGUUUAGUCUUGAUCAACUUCCACAUACUCUUCUGGUUUCAACUUCAGAUAUACUUUCUUUCAAUUACCUGAUUUUGUUCUUCUAGUAAGUUCUCAAGGGACAAGUUGAAACAAAUAGACAACCAUUGCUACUCUGUGACCAAUAUGAAACAUUUUCUUCUUUAUACUCUAAGUAGAAGAAAUGGUCAACAUAUGGAGUUGGAGCUUGGAAAAAUUAGAGGCUAAAAUGCAUGGAAACAAAGCAGCCUUGGUUUCAGAAUAUAGCGAUCACGAACCUCGAAGUUGUUUGAGGCAGGAAAAAACUCAUAUUAAGCACUGCUCUUCAUGCAAUUGAUUCAAGAAGGUGUGCUAGUUGACUCAAUUAAAUGGGAGAAGUUAAUUUUCUGUAGCAUAGAUUUAUCAGCAGUGUCAUCUUUCUCUUCUAAGGGGGGAGAUAAGGAGUAGAGGGUCGUUCUGCGCGAGAUAAGUCUUUAGUUUCACUUUUUAAUUU
Molecule: long non-coding RNA, 2857 nt
Organism: Lycium barbarum (goji berry)
Lineage: Eukaryota; Viridiplantae; Streptophyta; Magnoliopsida; Solanales; Solanaceae
Exons: 3
Source: RefSeq, a predicted model, not a curated record